RNAcentral lists this ribosomal RNA (550 nucleotides) under Streptomyces cacaoi. Its description in RNAcentral is "bacterial SSU rRNA". It matches the Rfam family "Bacterial small subunit ribosomal RNA", at positions 482 to 1031 of the family's 1533-position model. Lineage: Bacteria; Bacillati; Actinomycetota; Actinomycetes; Kitasatosporales; Streptomycetaceae. The record is from RNAcentral.
CAGAAGAAGCGCCGGCUAACUACGUGCCAGCAGCCGCGGUAAUACGUAGGGCGCAAGCGUUGUCCGGAAUUAUUGGGCGUAAAGAGCUCGUAGGCGGUCUGUCGCGUCGGAUGUGAAAGCCCGGGGCUUAACCCCGGGUCUGCAUUCGAUACGGGCAGACUAGAGUGUGGUAGGGGAGAUCGGAAUUCCUGGUGUAGCGGUGAAAUGCGCAGAUAUCAGGAGGAACACCGGUGGCGAAGGCGGAUCUCUGGGCCAUUACUGACGCUGAGGAGCGAAAGCGUGGGGAGCGAACAGGAUUAGAUACCCUGGUAGUCCACGCCGUAAACGGUGGGAACUAGGUGUUGGCGACAUUCCACGUCGUCGGUGCCGCAGCUAACGCAUUAAGUUCCCCGCCUGGGGAGUACGGCCGCAAGGCUAAAACUCAAAGGAAUUGACGGGGGCCCGCACAAGCAGCGGAGCAUGUGGCUUAAUUCGACGCAACGCGAAGAACCUUACCAAGGCUUGACAUACACCGGAAAGCAUUAGAGAUAGUGCCCCCCUUGUGGUCGGU